Molecule: ribosomal RNA, 1233 nt
Filed under: Bacillota bacterium
Lineage: Bacteria; Bacillati; Bacillota
Description: bacterial SSU rRNA
Rfam family: Bacterial small subunit ribosomal RNA
Source: RNAcentral
GNNUGCGCUGCUACCAUGCAGUCGAACGGUGAAGCAGAGCUUGCUCUGUGGAUCAGUGGCGAACGGGUGAGUAACACGUGAGCAACCUGCCCCGGACUCUGGGAUAAGCGCUGGAAACGGCGUCUAAUACUGGAUACGAGCUGCGACCGCAUGGUCAGCAGUUGGAAAGAUUUUUCGGUCUGGGAUGGGCUCACGGCCUAUCAGCUUGUUGGUGAGGUAAUGGCUCACCAAGGCGUCGACGGGUAGCCGGCCUGAGAGGGUGACCGGCCACACUGGGACUGAGACACGGCCCAGACUCCUACGGGAGGCAGCAGUGGGGAAUAUUGCACAAUGGGCGAAAGCCUGAUGCAGCAACGCCGCGUGAGGGAUGACGGCCUUCGGGUUGUAAACCUCUUUUAGCAGGGAAGAAGCGAGAGUGACGGUACCUGCAGAAAAAGCGCCGGCUAACUACGUGCCAGCAGCCGCGGUAAUACGUAGGGCGCAAGCGUUAUCCGGAAUUAUUGGGCGUAAAGAGCUCGUAGGCGGUUUGUCGCGUCUGCUGUGAAAUCCCGAGGCUCAACCUCGGGCCUGCAGUGGGUACGGGCAGACUAGAGUGCGGUAGGGGAGAUUGGAAUUCCUGGUGUAGCGGUGGAAUGCGCAGAUAUCAGGAGGAACACCGAUGGCGAAGGCAGAUCUCUGGGCCGUAACUGACGCUGAGGAGCGAAAGGGUGGGGAGCAAACAGGCUUAGAUACCCUGGUAGUCCACCCCGUAAACGUUGGGAACUAGUUGUGGGGUCCAUUCCACGGAUUCCGUGACGCAGCUAACGCAUUAAGUUCCCCGCCUGGGGAGUACGGCCGCAAGGCUAAAACUCAAAGGAAUUGACGGGGACCCGCACAAGCGGCGGAGCAUGCGGAUUAAUUCGAUGCAACGCGAAGAACCUUACCAAGGCUUGACAUAUACGAGAACGGGCCAGAAAUGGUCAACUCUUUGGACACUCGUAAACAGGUGGUGGCAUGGGUUGUCGUCAGCUCGUGUCGUGAGAUGUUGGGUUAAGUCCCGCAACGAGCGCAACCCUCGUUCUAUGUUGCCAGCACGUAAUGUGGGAACUCAUGGNUACUGCCGGGGUCACUCGGAGAAAGGUGGGGGAUGACGUCAAAUCAUCAUGCCCCUAUGUCCUGGNCUNACGGCAUGCUACAUGNCGNACANGGCUGCAAUACGCNAGNUGAACNNAUUCCNAAAAGCCGGNNUCCCCA